UGGCUCUGAUUUAAAAACCUAUGACCUAAUCUCCCGCGUUCAUCCGCCGAUUGACGGACGUGAUGGCUCCAUUGCCCAACCGGUACGCUUGGAUGAUCUCGGCCGUGCAGAUUAGAUCCGACCACUCCCGAUCGUCUUCCUGACCCUGCCGAACUCCGCCGACCCCCAGCUUCACGCCGCGAUGAAGCCAUGGCCAGAGGGACCUGCUCUACCCCCCAAUGAGCCGAGUACUAAAUUCGUUGGGCGCUAAAUGAAAUUGGGACGAUGGCGGACCAGGGAAGGAAGAAUCUUACAAUGGUUACGCAGCGCUUGACUCUGUCCACGGCGCACGGCGAAUUCGCGGCGACAGUGAUGAAUUGGAGGCGCCCAGAUCGCUCCCCCUCCUUGAUUCCACUGUGAGUGCAUUCCGGAUGACCAGGCGGAGCUCCUCGACUCCACCCCGGGUACCCGCCAGCGAUGUUCUCACAUGGCGACAAUCUCUUUCCUCACGGAGAUCCGCUUGGACAACACGGCGGCACCGAGGCGAUUCACGGGGUGUCGAAAAGCGAAAAGGAAGAGGAGAGGAGAGGAAAGAAGUCGCGACGAUCCGGCCUAUAUGGGCGCAAGGUCGUUCGCGACGCGGAGCAAUGGAGCUCCGGGUCUUCGGGCGUACCCGCCCUAGUC
RNAcentral lists this long non-coding RNA (663 nucleotides) under Zea mays. Its description in RNAcentral is "long non-coding RNA (ZMAY_LNC004831)". The record is from RNAcentral. Lineage: Eukaryota; Viridiplantae; Streptophyta; Magnoliopsida; Poales; Poaceae.